GACGAACGCUGGCGGCGUGCUUAACACAUGCAAGUCGAACGGAAAGUCCCUGCUUUUGUGGGGUGCUCGAGUGGCGAACGGGUGAGUAACCCGUGAGUAACCUGCCCUUGACUUUGGGAUAACUUCAGGUAACUGGGGCUAAUACCGGAUAGGAGCUCCUGCUGCUUGGUGGGGGUUGGAAAGUUUCGGCGGUUGGGGAUGGACUCGCGGCUUAUCAGCUAGUUGGUGGGGUAGUGGCUUACCAAGGCUUUGACGGGUAGCCGGCCUGAGAGGGUGACCGGCCACAUUGGGACUGAGAUACGGCACAGACUCCUACGGGAGGCAACGGUGGGGAGGAUUACACAAUGGGAGGAAGCCUGAUGCAGCGACGCCGCGUGCGGGAUGACGGCCUUCGGGUUGUAAACCGCUUUCGCCUGUGACGAAGCGUGAGUGACGGUAAUGGGUAAAGAAGCACCGGCUAACUACGUG
This 468-nucleotide ribosomal RNA is filed under the name uncultured bacterium. RNAcentral describes it as "partial 16S ribosomal RNA". It matches the Rfam family "Bacterial small subunit ribosomal RNA", at positions 28 to 507 of the family's 1533-position model. The record is from RNAcentral.